AUUUUCUGAGGUGUUGAAUAUUUCACAUUUUCCAGAAAGUUUUUAAUAUCCCAGAUAUCUGUUUGACAGGUGAUACAAUAAAGUUUUUUUACCGGGAUGUUCAUUUAGAUACCAUAUAACUGACUUUUAAGAUGGGAUAUACUGAAGCUUUAUUUCUGUUUACUCUCUAGAGAAGGCAUUUUAUUCCAAUUAACUUUAUCUUCACAUUCCAUUUUAUGAAACCCAAUGGAUGGAAGCUGGCUUCAAGGCUAUUGGUAAUAAAAAUUCAGAGUUGCCAUGGAAACAGAUCAGCAGAAGGGCUUUGAAGAUUUUCCACAGUUACUAUUAAUUUAGUUUUGUGUACAUAAUAAUUGUUAAACAGUGUGCUGUUUGUUUGUUUUUUCCUUAUGUGCCUCAAAUCUAACAGAAAAAGGCUGUUCUUAUAAUUUUUCAGGAAAUUAUGUUGUGUGUAUUUUGUACUUUGUUGUUUCUCCCUGUGGGACUUGUCAUGGUGGAUACAAAUCUAUGGCUGAUACAAGCUUCUCUUAUAGAGAAGCUAAUAAAAAUAAGGGUUAAUUGCUGUUAACUGUGAGUCUUUUUCCCUGCUCUCAAAAAACAUCAAGUGUCCUCUUGCUCUGUAUUUAUUUGAUUCUGAUUUUUGAUGCUUUUCCUCUGAGCUGUUUUCUACUUCAUUUCAAAUGCUAUCCAACAUUUACCCAGUGAAAGACAUUCAGGGUUAGUUUCUGUGUUUGAACACCUACAGUGCUGUAGCGGAAAUUGGUAAUCACAGCCUGAACCUCUGAUUAAUCAGCUGAUGCAAGUUUCAGGUCAGCUGUGGGAGCACGGGUGAGGGUAAUUUAGCUGCGCUCCCGGAAGGGAUGGAGCCUGACUUCACCUCCUCUAGACCUCAUUUAAGGGCUGACCACCACUGAAGCAGGAUCUCUUUGAGAUUGCUCCUUGGUGGAGAUUGCUUCAGUGUUUUCCAGCAGACUGAAGGCCUCUAUUGGGUGAGUCUUUCCUUUAAAUAACCUUUUGGAUACUUAUCACCACCUCUCUUGUACCAUCUUUGCAUUAUUGUCACUGUAUAAGUGCCUUUCACAAGAUCAGUGCUUCAGAGAAGUUAUUUUUUUAUUGUUGGCAGAAAAUCUGUGCAGAUCUUCUUGGCACCUUUCAACUUUUGAAAGCUUGAAUUUUCCCAAACUGGCCAAAAAGAAGGGAGCAGAUGAAUACCUGAGCACCACAGCUGCAAUCCUCAAAUCCUCUUAGCAUUUUUCAGCAUGACUGAGUGGAAAGAAGCAGUGGCCGGAAAGCUAAAAAAGAAGGAACCUUAGUGCUCCCUACCUCUCGCCCUCAGCUUAACAGAGGAGUUUUUCCUGCGCUGUACUCCCUGCCCUGGCAGUCUGCCCUGGCUCUCAAGAAUUUUCUGUGCUCAGCAGCUGUUCCUGGAAGUGGGCUUCCUGCAGAUAGGCAUAAAGGCACAUAGUGGAUAGGCAGUAAGCCAGUUAGCCUGACCUCUGUGAAGUAUGUUGCUUCCUGCUUUGCUUCCUUCCUCCCUGUUCCACUGUUUACUGUUUUCGACCAGCCUGCAGGAAAAUGAAGUCUCAGCAGAGGAUUGCACACAUAGGAGGGAGGCAUAGGCACACAGAACUUCAGUCUGUAGAACAACUCCAUAAAGAAUAGAGGAAUGCGUGCAUGAGACAAGUUGUAGAGUGAUGCUAGAGUUCAUCUUAGCAAUUACAUGAGGAGUUACAUAGCUAAGAUAACAGCAGAUAUGAAAAAGGACAUUAUUGUAAUGAAUAUUUUACCCUCCGAGUAUCUACAAAAUCAUUGUUUCUCUCCAACAACUUUCUGAGACUGAAACCAACACACUCCUCAAAUUUGCCUUAAAAAGAGGAUGAAAAGAAGCCCUUUGCCCUUCCUGGAGUUGCCAGGC
RNAcentral lists this long non-coding RNA (1912 nucleotides) under Coturnix japonica (Japanese quail). RNAcentral describes it as "lncRNA (ENSCJPG00005012741.1)". The record is from RNAcentral. Lineage: Eukaryota; Metazoa; Chordata; Aves; Galliformes; Phasianidae.